UACGUAGGGGGCGAGCGUUGUCCGGAGUUACUGGGCGUAAAGGGCAUGCAGGCGGUCCGACACGUUUUGUGUGACAGCGGGUGGCUUAACUACCCGAGGAUACGAAAGACGGUAGGACUUGAGGACUCGAGAGGGACACGGAAUUCCGGGUGGAGUGGUGAAAUGCGUAGAGAUCCGGAGGAACACCGAAGGCGAAGGCAGUGUCCUGGCGCGUAACUGACGCUGAGGUGCGAAAGCCAGGGGAGCGAACGGG
This 253-nucleotide ribosomal RNA is filed under the name uncultured bacterium. RNAcentral describes it as "partial 16S ribosomal RNA". It matches the Rfam family "Bacterial small subunit ribosomal RNA", at positions 524 to 776 of the family's 1533-position model. The record is from RNAcentral.